UCGAUGAUUUAGCCAAUGUUCGA
This 23-nucleotide non-coding RNA is filed under the name Arabidopsis thaliana (thale cress). Lineage: Eukaryota; Viridiplantae; Streptophyta; Magnoliopsida; Brassicales; Brassicaceae. The record is from RNAcentral.